AGGAGCGUAGUUCAACGGAUAGAGCAGCGGUCUUCGAAACCGAAGGUUACAGGUUCGAGCCCUGUCGCUCCUGCCA
RNAcentral lists this transfer RNA (76 nucleotides) under Vacuolonema iberomarrocanum LEGE 07170. Its description in RNAcentral is "tRNA-Arg". It matches the Rfam family "tRNA". Rfam says of the family: Transfer RNA (tRNA) molecules are approximately 80 nucleotides in length. Their secondary structure includes four short double-helical elements and three loops (D, anti-codon, and T loops). Lineage: Bacteria; Bacillati; Cyanobacteriota; Cyanophyceae; Oculatellales; Oculatellaceae. The record is from RNAcentral.